CGAAAAAAAUAAAUGAAAUUUAUUUCGAGUGUUGAGAAAGAUAUCGAACGAGUGAGCGCAGCGAACGAGAGAGAUAUCUUCUCAACACGAGAGAUAAAUUCCAUUGAUUUCCAAGCAUUCAUGUAUUUUUGUGUUUAUUUUUAUAUAUACUACGAACCUUUUUUACCCGCCACGGCUCUUAAUCCUGAUUUUUGAUUGGUGAGUCAAAACA
This is a non-coding RNA of Paramuricea clavata, 211 nucleotides long. NCBI's taxonomy places the organism in Eukaryota, Metazoa, Cnidaria, Anthozoa, Malacalcyonacea, Plexauridae. The record is from the annotation of a GenBank genome assembly.